Molecule: ribosomal RNA, 452 nt
Filed under: uncultured bacterium
Lineage: Bacteria
Description: bacterial SSU rRNA
Rfam family: Bacterial small subunit ribosomal RNA
Source: RNAcentral
AGCGAACGCUGGCGGCAGGCUUAACACAUGCAAGCCGAACGGGCGUAGCAAUACGUCAGUGGCAGACGGGUGAGUAACGCGUGGGAACGUACCUUUUGGUUCGGAACAACCCAGGGAAACUUGGGCUAAUACCGGAUAAGCCCUUACGGGGAAAGAUUUAUCGCCGAAAGAUCGGCCCGCGUCUGAUUAGCUAGUUGGUGUGGUAACGGCGCACCAAGGCGACGAUCAGUAGCUGGUCUGAGAGGAUGAUCAGCCACAUUGGGACUGAGACACGGCCCAAACUCCUACGGGAGGCAGCAGUGGGGAAUAUUGGACAAUGGGCGCAAGCCUGAUCCAGCCAUGCCGCGUGAGUGAUGAAGGCCCUAGGGUUGUAAAGCUCUUUUGUGCGGGAAGAUAAUGACGGUACCGCAAGAAUAGGCCCCGGCUAACUUCGUGCCAGCCGCCGCUGUAAG